This 144-nucleotide small RNA is filed under the name Arabidopsis thaliana (thale cress). Its description in RNAcentral is "ATSL047820". The record is from RNAcentral. Lineage: Eukaryota; Viridiplantae; Streptophyta; Magnoliopsida; Brassicales; Brassicaceae.
AAAAAGAUACUUGAAACGAAUAUUUCCGUCCUCCGUAUAAUCUGUAUGGACUGUGGACAGCGUACCUGGAUUAGUUGUCCUCAACAGGUGGAGAUAUGUCUGCAGAAACUUAUAACCUUCUUCCUCACUGCAACGAGCUUUCUU